UACGGGGGGGGCAAGCGUUGUUCGGAAUUACUGGGCGUAAAGGGCUCGUAGGCGGCCAACUAAGUCAUGCGUGAAAUCCCUCGGCUUAACCGGGGAACUGCGUCUGAUACUGGAUGGCUUGAGUUCGGGAGAGGGAUGCGGAAUUCCAGGUGUAGCGGUGAAAUGCGUAGAUAUCUGGAGGAACACCGGUGGCGAAGGCGGCAUCCUGGACCGAUACUGACGCUGAGGAGCGAAAGCGUGGGUAGCAAACAGG
This 253-nucleotide ribosomal RNA is filed under the name uncultured bacterium. RNAcentral's name for it is "partial 16S ribosomal RNA". It matches the Rfam family "Bacterial small subunit ribosomal RNA", at positions 524 to 776 of the family's 1533-position model. The record is from RNAcentral.